GACGAACGCUGGCGGCGUGCUUAACACAUGCAAGUCGAACGAAGAGCGAUGGAAGCUUGCUUCUAUCACUCUUAGUGGCGAACGGGUGAGUAACGCGUAAUCAACCUGCCCUUCAGAGGGGGACAACAGUUGGAAACGACUGCUAAUACCGCAUACGAUCUAAUCUCGGCAUCGAGGAUAGAUGAAAGGUGGCCUCUACAUGUAAGCUAUCACUGAAGGAGGGGAUUGCGUCUGAUUAGCUAGUUGGAGGGGUAACGGCCCACCAAGGCGAUGAUCAGUAGCCGGUCUGAGAGGAUGAACGGCCACAUUGGGACUGAGACACGGCCCAGACUCCUACGGGAGGCAGCAGUGGGGAAUCUUCCGCAAUAGACGAAAGUCUGACGGAGCAACGCCGCGUGAGUGAUGACGGCCUUCGGGUUGUAAGGCUCUGUUAAUCGGGACGAAAGGCCUUCUUGCGAAUAGUGAGAAGGAUUGACGGUACCGGAAUAGAAAGCCACGGCUAACUACGUG
RNAcentral lists this ribosomal RNA (510 nucleotides) under uncultured bacterium. RNAcentral's name for it is "partial 16S ribosomal RNA". It matches the Rfam family "Bacterial small subunit ribosomal RNA", at positions 28 to 507 of the family's 1533-position model. The record is from RNAcentral.